CAGGACGAACGCUGGCGGCGUGCUUCAUACAUGCAAGUCGAACGAGAAUCUCUAGCUUGCUAGAGAGGAAAGUGGCGGACGGGUGAGUAAAAUGUAGAGAAUCUGCCCUAGAGAGUGGGACAACAGAGGGAAACUUCUGCUAAUACCGCAUAUGAGCGUAGCUGAAAUGCUAUUCUUGAAAACUCCGGUGCUCUAGGAUGAGUCUGCAUCUGAUUAGCUAGUUGGCGGUGUAAUGGACCACCAAGGCGACGAUCAGUAGCUGGUUUGAGAGGAUGAUCAGCCACAAUGGGACUGAGACACGGCCCAUACUCCUACGGGAGGCAGCAGUAGGGAAUUUUGCGCAAUGGGCGAAAGCCUGAACCGCAGCAACGCCGCGUGACCGAUGAAGCCCUUCGGGGUGUAAAGGUCUGUCAGUGGGGACGAAACUUGACGGUACCCGCAGAGGAAGCAUCGGCUAACUCCGUGCCAGCAGCGGC
RNAcentral lists this ribosomal RNA (476 nucleotides) under uncultured bacterium. RNAcentral's name for it is "bacterial SSU rRNA". It matches the Rfam family "Bacterial small subunit ribosomal RNA", at positions 25 to 518 of the family's 1533-position model. The record is from RNAcentral.